RNAcentral lists this transfer RNA (127 nucleotides) under Nanobdellota archaeon. Its description in RNAcentral is "tRNA-Val". The stretch from base 56 to 127 matches the Rfam family "tRNA". From Rfam's summary of the family: Transfer RNA (tRNA) molecules are approximately 80 nucleotides in length. Lineage: Archaea; Nanobdellati; Nanobdellota. The record is from RNAcentral.
GGGCCUGUAGUCUAGCGGCUAUGAAACCGAGGCACAAAAGAGCGUGAUCAGAGAGGGGUGUUAACUCGGUUUAGCAAACGUCGCCUUCACACGGCGGAGGUCCCCGGUUCGAAUCCGGGCAGGCCCA